UGAGCAAUCUGCCCAUCUCUUUGGAAUAAGCGUUGGAAACGACGUCUAAUGCCGAAUACGACCUCCUUUCGCAUGAUCGGAGGUGGAAAGCUCCGGCGGAGAAGGAUGAGCUCGCGGCCUAUCAGCUUGUUGGUGGGGUAAUGGCCUACCAAGGCGACGACGGGUAGCCGGCCUGAGAGGGUGUCCGGCCACACUGGGACUGAGAUACGGCCCAGACUCCGUACGGGAGNAGCG
This 234-nucleotide ribosomal RNA is filed under the name uncultured bacterium. RNAcentral describes it as "partial 16S ribosomal RNA". It matches the Rfam family "Bacterial small subunit ribosomal RNA", at positions 118 to 347 of the family's 1533-position model. The record is from RNAcentral.